This 3253-nucleotide long non-coding RNA is filed under the name Phaseolus vulgaris (common bean). RNAcentral's name for it is "long non-coding RNA (PVUL_LNC003171)". Lineage: Eukaryota; Viridiplantae; Streptophyta; Magnoliopsida; Fabales; Fabaceae. The record is from RNAcentral.
AGAGCUUCUAAAAGGAAGAAAAUUUAUAGUAGGAUAAAAAGAGUUUAUAAAAAAAAUAGUUUAGAUAAAAAAUUGAAAGCUAUUAUUAAGGAAAAAAAUAGGAGAAAUAAAGAGUAGAAAGAUAGGAGAAAGAAAAGAGAGAAAAAGAGGAAAAAGAAAGAAAAAGAAUAUAGAGACAAUGAAUUGUUACAAAAAGUUAGGAAUGAGGAAGAGUUAACUAUAAAAUCCUCUAGAAAAGAAUAUUUUAAGAGGAUUCUAACUUUUCUUUCCAAAAAUUUAUCGAGAGCCACUUGUUGUUGCAUAGUGAUAACAGUUGUUCUACAAUCAAAUUAAAAGAAGUUUCAGUUCCAAUGCAGAGACCAUCUAACAACAAUGUUAGACCGUCUAAUAGCAAAAAUAUGAUAAUAUAGAUGUGGUCAGAUGACCCCAAGUUGUCUCCCAACGAAUCUAAUAGUAAAUUCAAUAAAACAGUAUUCAAAACCUAUCUGCAAAACAGUAAGAUUAGUAAUAACAAUAAAGUAAAAUGAUAGUUUUAAUUUGUUGUGCAUAAAAGUAAAGUAGGUGAUAAAAAAUACUAGAGAAAGCAAGUUAACUCCUAAGUUCACCAUAAAUUUUUCAUUGGUUAUAUCAAGAUCAUCAUCCUUCAAUUCUCAUACAAAUGUCAAAUUUAAUCAAACAAGCGUCAAUCAAAUUCAACAACAUCUUAUUAGUAAAACAAAUGUCUACUAAUGUAUUCAAUAUCUCACUCGUCUCCAAGUAUUUAUCUCUUGAACUAAGUGAACAAGAAAUUGAUUAUAACUAAACAAACUAACCAAGAAUUCUAAUUAAAGAAAAGAAGUGAAUUCUUAACAAGCAUUCUAAGACAAUAUUCCUUUGACAUAAACUUGAAUUCAAAAUGAUCAAAGAUUAAAACAAACUACUACAAAUAUUAAAAAAUUGAACUUUAUUGAACAAAACCUCAUAAUUCAAUGGAAAAUUACAAUGAAAUCAAUUUAAAAGUUUUAGUCUUCCAUUACGAAGAGGAAAACAAAACAAAAAUAAAUCAAAGUUUAAGAGCGCUAUUCGACUUUAAAACUUGAUGCCCCUGUUUUUGCUCUGAAAUCUCUUUUAUAAUCUUCUUUUCUUUGCACAAAAUCAAAUUCAUAAUCUAUCUCAGGAUAUUGUUUUACAAUUAUCAAAUAUUUUCUUUCUCUAUUAAUAAGCAAAUAUCUUCUUUCUUAAUCAAUCCUAGAUCUCAUUCUCGCUUCUCUUCCAAAUGUAUUGUUUCCAAACUUGAUUCAGAUUUGUGUAUUGAUUGUAAUUAAGCUCGGUGAUGCUACGAGAGAUAUUGCAGAAGAUUUACGUGAAUAAUAUUUCAAGGAUAUUUGCUCUAUUUUUGAAGCUUUUUACCGAGUAGUUUUUUAGUGCAUAAUUUGAAAGAAUCCCCUCGCAUAAGAUUGAAUUGAUUUUGGUUCUUGCUUCCUCAAAAUGUAAUAGAAUCACCAAAUCAAUAUCUUCCUUUUCCAGAAUGGACAUCCAUCAAGAGUUGCUUUGAGAAUACUAUUUAAGCACAUGAAGCAUUUAAUCCUUCCAUAAUCAAGCUUUCAAUCUUCAAGUGACAUAGUUCUUUUUUGAGAAAUUUUCAACAUCUUCACAAAGGAUAACCGAAUUCAAAUCUGGAAUUGGAAUUGACUAUUUGGGCCCAAAGACUCGCCAAUCCUAUCAAGAGCUUUUAAACACUAAAGAACAAAAUAGAUUUAACAUAGAAUAAAAGAACGUUAGGUAAAGAAAAAUGGAGAAUGGUAUGUUAGUUGGACCAACUAAUAUUCUUUCUGAAAUUUGAAGUUUUUAGGGAGGAAGGGUAUGACAUAGCUUAGUAAAUCAAUCAACAAUACAAUGUGAUAGAAGAAAAUGCUAAAUGAGAAGAGGAACAAAUUGAUGCCUGUUUUACUAGAAAAAAAAGGGAUGAACAAAAUUUUGCAGACACAAGGAUCAAGUUAAUAUGUCACACUGUAGGACUAGGUAAAGAAAAAGGUUUUAAAUUGCAAUUGUAGUAAUGAACUCAUGAUAACAUAAUGGAGUUAUGAAUCCAGGGCUAUCAUGGUUGUGGUUACCAUCACAACUGAGACUUAAAUCCUUGGAAGAGAAUAUUUGAGAGAAAAUCAGGUCAAGAGGGUGUGCUUGAGAACCAUGUGCGAGAAAUCAAAUUCAAGUUCUGUUUCAAAUUAAAACAUGAUUGUGACUCUGUGUUAUUCUUUCAUCUGCGGGCUAUGGGAAGUGAGAAGAUAUGGACUAAGGUAACUUUAAUAAAUCUUUGAUAAUAACACAACCAUAGUUUUAACUUUGAUAAAUCUUUUACAAAUUAGCAGCAAUGGUAUGAUAAUAUAGAUAAUCAUUUUUAACAUUAUUGUCACAUUACUCAAACAGCAAGCAGUAUGGGUCAAAUAGCCAUUUUAAGUAAAGAUAAAUGAUCAGCUCUAACAUCUUCCACAAAAACUAAUGUUCUCAAAGCUUCAAAUUUGUACACCAGUUUUAUUUUUUUUAUUUAUGGUCUAAUGGUCUCUAUUUUAUGUCCAAUGUUGCAAGGACCUGAAAAAUAAAUAUUCCAAAACAAACAAUGUUAUAAAAAGAGAGAGAGGUCAUGCUUACAGAAGAACAAGAUUGGAUUUUCCUCCUCAAUAACUGCCGAAUAACACCUCCAGCCAUCUUAGUUCAGACUGCAAUCCAUUCACAUGAAGACUACAGAAAGUAGCUAAAUAUCUCCAACAAGUAUAAAAGAUCAAAUUCUACAAAUAUGCAUAAGGGUACUGACAAAGACAGCCUCACCAAAAAGUGCAAAUAAGAUAAGAGUAAAUGUUAUCAACUGUUUCUGCAAUGAAGAAUAAGAACCAACAUAAGCAGAAAAAAACAGCAACAUCAAAAACCCACAUCACCAAGCAACACAUUCAAAUGAAAUCUCAAUAGGGCAUAUGAUUGCUGAACAUGGGUCACAGAUCCUAGUUGCAGUGAUUGCUGAACAUUUAAAACUAAGAGCUUACAUGUAAUGAAAAUUGAAUGGAGUAGGAGAAGAUACAAGGACACAUAAGUUUUAUGCAAAAGAACAAAAAUUGAUGGUAUGUUAAAUGUUAAUUAGGAGUGGGGUUGAAGUCUCUUGAAGAUGGUUGGAGAGUGUUGCUUAAAAUGGCAGAUAUGUGUGCUGAGCUGGCCUAAAAGGAAAUGUUGGUUUCACUCACCUUCCUGACUUGUGAGUGAAGACACAUUUGGCAUACAAUUU